RNAcentral lists this ribosomal RNA (323 nucleotides) under Nostoc sp. AFC 019. Its description in RNAcentral is "bacterial SSU rRNA". It matches the Rfam family "Bacterial small subunit ribosomal RNA", at positions 279 to 616 of the family's 1533-position model. The record is from RNAcentral. Lineage: Bacteria; Bacillati; Cyanobacteriota; Cyanophyceae; Nostocales; Nostocaceae.
ACCAGUAGCUGGUCUGAGAGGAUGAUCAGCCAUACUGGUACUGAGACACGGCCCAGACUCCUACGGGAGGCAGCAGUGGGGAAUUUUCCGCAAUGGGCGAAAGCCUGACGGAGCAAUACCGCGUGAGGGAGGAAGGCUCUUGUGUCGUAAAGCUCUUUUCUCAAGGAAGAACACAAUGACGCUACUUCAGGAAUCAGCUUGGGCUAACUCCGUGCCAGCAGCCGCGGUAGUACGUAGGAUGCAAGCGUUAUCCGGAAUGAUUGGGCGUAAAGCGUCCGCAGGUGGCGAUGUAAGUCUGCUGUUAAAGAGUGAGGCUCAACCUC